This 413-nucleotide small RNA is filed under the name Pongo abelii (Sumatran orangutan). RNAcentral's name for it is "retained intron". Lineage: Eukaryota; Metazoa; Chordata; Mammalia; Primates; Hominidae. The record is from RNAcentral.
UCCCACAAUAUUUUAAAGUACAAUGUUUUGGGUUUUUUGAGGGUAAAGUAAAAGAAAAUAUGUUUUAAAAACUUUAGUUGUCAAAUUAUUUUAUUUUAAGCCUAUUUUAGAAAUUAGAGAUGUAUUGUUUCUUUUGGGUGCAUAUCACCAAUUAAUACGUUUGAUUUCAGAUCUACAACUUACUGCUUUGUAAACUUCGCCGAGCAAGGAGUAAAUAAUGCUGAAAAAUUUGACUAUGUCAUGCAGUUUUUGAAUAAGAUGGCUGGUAAUGAAUAUGUUGGAUUCAGUAAUGCAACGUUUCAGUCUGAAAGAGAAAGUGGAGAUCGAAAUUUUGCAAUAGGAUAUUACUUAAAAGAAAAGAAGUGUUUUCCAGAAGGCACAGACAUGGUUGGUAUAUUAGACUUCUACUUCCA